GCUUAUCUGGUUGAUCCUGCCAGUAGUCAUACGCUCGUCUCAAAGAUUAAGCCAUGCAUGUGUAAGUAUAAAUAGUUAACUUUGAAACUGCGAAUGGCUCAUUAUAUCAGUUAUAGUUUAUUUGAUGAAGAAUACUAAUUGGAUAACCGUAGUAAUUCUAGAGCUAAUACAUGUAUAAAGUCUUGUAGACUGCAUUUAUUAGAAUGAAAACCAUAGGUUUCGGCCUAUUCGUGAGUAAUAAUAACUAAUCAUAUCGUAUGCUUAAGUAACGAUGUGUCUUUCAAGUUUCUGCCCUAUCAGCUUUCGAUGGUAGUGUAUUGGACUACCAUGGCAGUAACGGGUAACGAAGAA
This 351-nucleotide ribosomal RNA is filed under the name Blastocystis sp. subtype 3. Its description in RNAcentral is "bacterial SSU rRNA". It matches the Rfam family "Eukaryotic small subunit ribosomal RNA", at positions 1 to 369 of the family's 1831-position model. Lineage: Eukaryota; Bigyra; Opalinata; Blastocystidae. The record is from RNAcentral.